CUCUCUGUGGCUCUCUGUGUGCCCCUGGGACCCCCAGACCCUGGGACACUCAUGAAUGCCUCCUGGUCACCCACAGACGAACAAAGCCCAAGGUCAAGGGAAGCAGAGGAGGAGGAUGACAAGGUGGCCCUGCUGACUCCCAGCAGCAGCAAGCGGGUGCCCUUGGCAGGGACACGCAGCCUCUGGAGGGAACCCCACACCACGCUCUGGGCCUGGGCUGCUGCACUCUGGUCCCGGAUGAACCCCCAGCUGAGCCUUCUCAACAUCAUCAUCACCAUCUACCUGCUGCUCAUGGUGGCCUUGCUGGUGUCCUCGGGGUACAUCGGGCUGCGCAUCGUGGAGCUGGAGCAGCAGUUGGCAUUGGCAGGGGCUCAGCCACACCCCAACCCACCACAGCAGUGAGUGACUGGGGUGGGGGCCCUUUGUGCCCAGCAGAGACCCCCCUCAGCCUGCCUCCCCCUGCCCAGGUACAAGACAACGCGAGGCCAGUGAGGACCCGCCAUCACUGGUGCCCUGGACAGGGGGUGCAGGGGCUGCCCCAACCCCUUCCUCUGCUUCUCAGGGGGCUCCAUCAGCAAGUGCCUUCCAGCCCCCCACGGUGCCUGGGAAGCCCAGAGGGGGUGUGGGGCUCCAUCUCACUCCCCCUGUGUCUCCCACCCUGAGCAGCAGCAGGAGGGAACAAAGAGCAGCACAUGGGGAGGGGUUGGGGCCACCCCUACCCAGCCCUCCCUGCCCAGCGGGGCAGAGGGGCCUGGGCCCAGGCAAUGCAGGGGCAAAGAAAACAAA
RNAcentral lists this long non-coding RNA (786 nucleotides) under Lepidothrix coronata (blue-crowned manakin). RNAcentral describes it as "lncRNA (ENSLCOG00000001423.1)". Lineage: Eukaryota; Metazoa; Chordata; Aves; Passeriformes; Pipridae. The record is from RNAcentral.